GGUGUAAGAAACUCCACCACAUAGGUCUUGGAAGAGAAAGAGGACUCCACAAAGGAAGAAGAAAGGGAGUAUCCCGACUUACAGAUAGAAAACCAGCAAGGAGGUCUCAAGGAUGGAAUUGUCAAUUGUUUCAAAUGCUGCUUAGAGGUCCAGUGUAUUUCUUUCAUUACAAUUCUAUUAUGCAAACUUUAGCAAGUAUGUCACAAUAUUCAUUCAAACAAAUUUGUAUCUACAUGCUAGGCAUUCUUCUAGGUCCUGGAGCUAAAGCAGGUAAUAAAGCAGACUUGCUCUGUGUAAGGCAGAUUAAAAUAUUUCAAUAAGACUGAGGUAAGACAGAGUACUCUCUUUCUAUAGUUGGAAAAUCAGCUUCCUUUUGUUUCAGCUAAUUUUGACCAUCUUAAUAAAUAAUAUCAAGUUUGCAUUUUGUUUUCUUCCCCAAAAGGUAACAUGAGAGACCUUGUCAAAUGCUAUAUUGCAAUCUGUGAUGGUAAUAUUGUCAACUUGACUGGAUUGAAGGAUGCAAAGUGUUGUUUCUGGGUAUGUCUGUGAGGGUGUUGCCAGAGGAGAUUAACAGUUGAGUCAAUGGACUGGGAGAGAGAGACCAACCCUCAAUCUGAAUGGGUACCAUCCAAUUGGUUGCCAGGAUGGCUAGAAAAAGCAAGCAGAAGGUGGAAUUAGCUGACCUGCUGAGUCUUCCAGCCUUCAUCUUUCUCCCCUACUGGAUGCUUCCUGCGCUUGCACAUCAUACUCCACGUUCUUCAGAUUUUGGACUCUUAGAAUUUUACCAGUGGUUUGCCAGGGGCUCUGGGAUCUUCAGCCACAGACUGAAGGCUGCACUGUUGGCUUUCCUACUUUUGAGGUUUUGUGACUCAGACUGAGCCACUACUGGCGUCCUUGCUCCUCAGCUUGCAGACAGACGGCCUAUGGUAGGACUACACCUUGUGAUCGUAUCCUUUGGCAGCCCUUCUCAAGGACCUCUGUGAGACAAAAUCAGAAAUGGCUUCCCUGGGGACCAAGAGAGCCCACAAGCCUCUUCCUGCUGCUUCUUCUACCCCUGUAUUUUGUUUGACUCUCUAAAUUUGUCUCAGCUCCAGCCUGCAGGAUUCCCUUUGGCAUUUAUCCCAAGGCAAGUCUUGUGAUAAUGAACUCUCAGCUUUUGUUCAUCUGGGAAUGUUUUAAUUUCUCCUUCACUUUUGAAAUAAAGUUCUGCUGGAUAUAGAAUUCUUGGUUGACAGAUUUUUUUUUUCCUUUUAGCUCUCUGAAUAUAUCAGCCCACUGCCUUCUAUCCUCCAAAAUUUCUGAUGAAAAAUCUACUAAUAAUGUAUUGAAGAUCUGUUAUAUGUGAGGAGUCACUUCUCUCUUUCUGCUUUCAUGGUUCUUUGUCUUUCAGCAGUUUGAUCAUCAUGUGUCUCACCAUAGGGCUUUUUAUCUUCAUUGUACUUAGAGUUGGUUGAGUUUCUUGGGUGUUUAUAUCUUUCAUCAGGCUUGAAGUUUCACCUACCACUUCAACUAUUCUGUAUGCCCCUUUGGCUCUUUCUCUCUCUUCUUCCUGGAACUUAUUAUUAGUAAAUUGGUCUGCUUAAUGUUGGCCUACAGGUCCCUUAGCCUCUGUUCACUUUCCUUCUGUCUUUUUUGCUUUCCUGUUGCUCAGACUAAGUAAUUUCUACUGUUCCAACUUUAGGUUUGCUGAUCCUUUUCUCUGCCUGUUCAAAUAUGCCUAUGGACCUCUUCUAGUAAAUUUUUCAUUUCAGUUAUUGUACUUUUUAG
RNAcentral lists this long non-coding RNA (1767 nucleotides) under Homo sapiens (human). RNAcentral describes it as "HSALNT0018372". The record is from RNAcentral. Lineage: Eukaryota; Metazoa; Chordata; Mammalia; Primates; Hominidae.